RNAcentral lists this ribosomal RNA (564 nucleotides) under Nostoc sp. IPPAS B-1206. RNAcentral's name for it is "bacterial SSU rRNA". It matches the Rfam family "Bacterial small subunit ribosomal RNA", at positions 155 to 750 of the family's 1533-position model. Lineage: Bacteria; Bacillati; Cyanobacteriota; Cyanophyceae; Nostocales; Nostocaceae. The record is from RNAcentral.
AACGGUGGCUAAUACCGGAUGUGCCGAGAGGUGAAAGGUUAACCUGCCUGAAGAUGAGCUCGCGUCUGAUUAGCUAGUAGGUGUGGUAAGAGCGCACCUAGGCGACGAUCAGUAGCUGGUCUGAGAGGACGAUCAGCCACACUGGGACUGAGACACGGCCCAGACUCCUACGGGAGGCAGCAGUGGGGAAUUUUCCGCAAUGGGCGAAAGCCUGACGGAGCAAUACCGCGUGAGGGAGGAAGGCUCUUGGGUCGUAAACCUCUUUUCUCAGGGAAGAACACAAUGACGGUACCUGAGGAAUAAGCAUCGGCUAACUCCGUGCCAGCAGCCGCGGUAAUACGGAGGAUGCAAGCGUUAUCCGGAAUGAUUGGGCGUAAAGCGUCCGCAGGUGGCUAUGUAAGUCUGCUGUUAAAGAGUCUAGCUCAACUAGAUAAGAGCAGUGGAAACUACAUGGCUAGAGUGCGUUCGGGGCAGAGGGAAUUCCUGGUGUAGCGGUGAAAUGCGUAGAGAUCAGGAAGAACACCGGUGGCGAAGGCGCUCUGCUAGGCCGCAACUGACACUGAG